GCCGGUGUUAAACCGGAGGAAGGUGGGAUGACGUCGAAGUCCUCAUGGCCCUUUUAUGCCCAGGGCUACACACGUGCUACAAUGGGUGGUACAAAGAGCAGCCAGCUCGCGAGAGUGAGCAAAUCUCAAAAAGACCAUCCUCAGUUCGGAUUGAAGUCUGCAACUCGACUUCAUGAAGUUGGAAUCGCUAGUAAUCGCGGAUCAGCAUGCCGCGGUCGAAUACGUUCCCGGGCCUU
RNAcentral lists this ribosomal RNA (236 nucleotides) under uncultured Syntrophus sp. RNAcentral's name for it is "partial 16S ribosomal RNA". It matches the Rfam family "Bacterial small subunit ribosomal RNA", at positions 1151 to 1382 of the family's 1533-position model. Lineage: Bacteria; Pseudomonadati; Thermodesulfobacteriota; Syntrophia; Syntrophales; Syntrophaceae. The record is from RNAcentral.